RNAcentral lists this ribosomal RNA (253 nucleotides) under uncultured bacterium. Its description in RNAcentral is "partial 16S ribosomal RNA". It matches the Rfam family "Bacterial small subunit ribosomal RNA", at positions 524 to 776 of the family's 1533-position model. The record is from RNAcentral.
UACAGAGGUGGCAAGCGUUGUUCGGAAUUACUGGGCGUAAAGGGCGCGUAGGCGGUUCUGUAAGUCCCGCGUGAAAUCCCCCGGCUCAACUGGGGAACUGCGCGGGAAACUGUGGGGCUAGAGUUCAGGAGAGGGAAGCGGAGUUCCGGGUGUAGCGGUGAAAUGCGUAGAUAUCCGGAGGAACACCGGUGGCGAAGGCGGCUUCCUGGACUGACACUGACGCUGAGGCGCGAAAGCUAGGGGAGCAAACGCG